This 57-nucleotide transfer RNA is filed under the name Bos taurus (domestic cattle). It matches the Rfam family "tRNA", at positions 8 to 63 of the family's 71-position model. Rfam says of the family: Transfer RNA (tRNA) molecules are approximately 80 nucleotides in length. Their secondary structure includes four short double-helical elements and three loops (D, anti-codon, and T loops). RNAcentral also lists the same sequence under 2 other names. The record is from Rfam by way of RNAcentral. Lineage: Eukaryota; Metazoa; Chordata; Mammalia; Artiodactyla; Bovidae.
UGGCUCAGACGGUAAAGCGUCUGUCUGCAAUGCAGGAGACCCGGGUUUGAUCCCUGG